Molecule: long non-coding RNA, 810 nt
Filed under: Cyanistes caeruleus (blue tit)
Lineage: Eukaryota; Metazoa; Chordata; Aves; Passeriformes; Paridae
Description: lncRNA (ENSCCEG00000000930.1)
Source: RNAcentral
AUGUCUGCACUCUCCCAACACAGAACACAUUCCAGCAUGCUGGAAAUCAUUUAUGCAUCUGCCAUGAAGUACCUGGAAGAAGGAAAGAGCCUGAAUCGGAGCUGCCUUAUCAGGCACCAACAGAAUCACAAAUCGAGGCUCACGGCUUAAAAGAACCAACAAGAAAAAUGAGACUGGAUUUGGAAAGGAGAUGGAAAUCUUGUACCUCUCACAAAACUAAGAAACCAUGGCAAAUGUCACGUCCUCACUGAAAAUUUCUGAAAGUAUAGGAAGUCAACUACUCAAGCAGUGCCUGCUAUCACUGCAGAAGACAUAAACAUAAAGAAUAUUUUCCUAAUUGCUAUGGACCACUUCAGUGGGGUGAGUGUAGCAGGUGUGGCAUUGCCAAUUCCACAGAGAGUACAGAGGUUUACCUGGGGCAGAAGUUCUGAGGGUGGACUCUGGGCUGGAAAAGAUGGGGCUGUGCUCAUGAUAUCCUGGAUAAUUGUGUAUGGCAAAGUGCUGCGCCUCAGCUUUUCACACAGUGCCUCUGGACAUUGAAUCAGAAGACAAUGAUAUGUUCUCCCACCCUGGAGAAGCUCUGCCACCCCAUCCUCAGGAGCUUCCCCUCUGGGCUGUACUUUAAGCCACUCUGGGAAGAUGAGAAAAUUAAGAUCUUUUAUCAGCAAUGCCCACAGUCCCAUGACAUUAUUUGUGAGCGAUGACCUGAAUUUAUACUGUGCUUUUCACCUGCAGACCACUGGUCUACAAAAUGGGGGGGGGGAGUUUGUUUAGCAGAAACCGGAAUAAAGACUCCUCCCAGCAACUCCA